GAACGGCCGGUUAUCACACUAGGGGGCGAGCGAGAGCAGCGGGGCGGAAGUGAGACCGUUAAAUCAAACCACCGAGGAAGACGGGAACGUUAAACACUGGCCGUUUCUCAAUACCUAAGACGGCGAGAACGGACUCGCGUUCCCGCGAGAAUAGACUCGGGAGACAGACUCGGGAGUCCUGACUCACGGGUACGGGAGAACGGAGAACGGACAUUUCCGCAAUUGGAACAGCAGCUGACUUGAUGACGUCACCACAGUAGGCGGUCUUUGUUUACGCACGCAAGUGGAAAUGUAUAAAAAGCCAGCAGCGUGUUAACGGUUGUGGAAGGUGUUUGUUGAAACAUAUUGGUAUUAUUAUAUUUAAUAAUUAAUUAAUUUGAGUAGUAACUACAUGGAUCCGAUACAUACUGCUGUUGCGGUCGGCAAACUGUAUAUAGAAGCUGAAGAGGAGGCUGCCCAACUCAGGAGAAACAUACGCAAGCGAAAAUCCAAGAUGAGGCGAAGGAUGGCGAGGAGACGUGCCAUAAUAGCAUGUCUCGCUUUCUUUGUAAGUUUAAUUCAGUAUAAAGCAUUGAUGAUAUGUAAUCAUUUAUAUUAAUGUCAGCUGUGGUUUUCUCUGCUGUUUGACUGUUGUGGCUGAUACUGCAAGGUGGUUGGAAUACAGAUUGUUUGGAGCAAUGCCCUCAAAGGCACAUUACAGAAAAGAUACCUUUUACAUACGAAACCUACAGAUGUUAUUAAUGAUAGGGCAGUUGUUAUGUGUAUCAAGGUUAGCUUAAUCCAGGCCUAAUAAACCACCAGGUACAGAGGAGGUUCGAUACGGUAACAGCAUCUGACCAUCGAUUAGCCUACUGAAGCAUACACACCUAAUGGUCGUCUUGGUAUUCAAACAUUAAGAGGUUGGUAUUCAGAUGGACAGUGCAAUAAACAUCAUUAUGCGUUACUACAAAACGCAGCAAGACCUCAUUCAUUAUGGAAUCCAUGGAAACGUUUUUAUUAACUAUAUAAAAUAGUCAAAGCAUAAUCGUAAAAUGCAGCAUUUCUUUAAUAUUACGAACUGAAUAACCAAUUUAACAAUAUUAAUACAGUUGUUGCAUUUGUUUAUUACAGAACAAACAUCCUGUUACUAAAUAUGCUGUGAUGAAGAAUGAUGUCCCCAUCAAUAUUUCAGAUGGAGAUGGCCCAAGACCCUGGCCCUCCUCAUAAUUACACACUGAUAGAAGCUCAAUACUCACUCCCAUCCAGUCUUGCUGGAGUUUCGUUGGCCUGUGAACAGGCUUUCGUUGCCCGCACGCCACUCUAUGAGGGCUUGGGUUUCCUCAGUUGUCCCUUAUUGAAGAUAUCACGGUCAUAUUAGUUCAAAUGCACAAUGACACCCAUUAUUACAAGCCUGCACAAUAUGGAUAGACAGCCAAACAAUUUGGUCUAAGAUAUAAAGACCAUGACGUUCAAUUUAAACAUGCCGCUAUGAAUCUAAACUCCGUACUUUAACAUAUUUAACUAACGUUAAAUGACCGAAAAAUAAACUAACAGUAGACGUCAUACAAAGCAAAACGAAUUGUAUGUGUCAUGUUUAACUGCUACUUUAAUACCAGCAUCACAUUAGAAGAUGAUUCUCGAGAAUAGGCGGCUGGAAUGAGCGCUGACCGCCCGGUGCGCGAGAGGUUACGUUAUAACGGCUCCGUUAGAUUUGGAGGCAUUUUUUUUAAAUAGGCUGAAUGUUGACCACACAUUUGUUGCUUAAACCGCUAACUUGUAUCCUUAAAAAGUGUUCACAUCACAUUCCGUUAAUUAACAAUAGUGGUAUUUAAUAAAAGACGACUUACAGUUGUGCGUUUUCUCAUCUUCCAUCGCAGCUUGCUGAGGUGAAAUGCAUUCUGGGAUAUAUGUCUCUCACAAGAACAGACGAGCCUGCUUCGAUGCAUGCCCGGGAAAAUGGGCGGGGCGAGUCACAUCCGGGUAUUAUGACCGUUCUCGGCCAGAUGCGGACUUGAGAAUUGGAACAGUACUCGGGCUGUGACUGAUGACGUUUCACGAGUCCACGAGAACAAAAGUCCACACGAGAACGCAUAUUGAGAAACGGCCAGUGUAAUACGACUACUGGACGCGAGGGGCGAGCGAGAGCGAAAUGCAGGAAGUGUUCCACGUAUUAAAGCAGGGGGGUCCAAACUUUUUUCACUGAGGGCCACAGACAGAAAAAUAUGCGAAAGGUUGAGCCGCUCACUAAAGUUAAGGUAUAUCACCUCUAGUGUAUUAACAGUAAUACAAAUCAAUCAAUCAAAUGUAGGUAAAUUAUGCUUGAUAAUUUAUUAUACUUACAGAAAAAACUGCAUACAUCACAUCUUUCUAUGUUUGGGUUUUCAUUUAUCUAUUUUCAAAUAAAAUCAAUCAAAUGUAGGUAAAUUAUGUUUGAUAAUUGAAUAAACUUAAAGAAAAAAAACUGCAUAAAUCACAUCUCUCCAUUAAUGGGUUUUCAUUUUUUUUACGAAAAGGGUUGGCAGCUCAUCCUCAGAUUGCUUCUUUGUCAGGAUGGGGACCCCCUUCACAGCCCUGUAUCACAGAGACGGCUGUCGCUCAUUUUGGUUCUCAAUCUGCUUUUGUUCAGAGUUAACAGAGAAAAUGUUUGCUCGCAUAUGUAUGUUGUGCCAAACAGACUGGUCAUUCUUUUUGCGUGGCGUCGCAUCAGAGGAAACUUGGCCUUUUCCAAGCUCCGGUAGAAGUCGGGUAGGGAGAGGAGCUGCAUCUCGAUGAGUUCUAAUUGCAGACUCUCUUCCACUUCUUCUGCAUCCAGCAGGAAGGGAGUUGAGAACAGCUUGAUUUCUUUCUCAAUGACAGAAACAUCUUGGAAGCGCUGAUUGAAUUGUGUCAUAAGAGUUGUCAUCACAGAAACAUAUUUCCUCUUUUUAGCAGAGAGGUCGGCCUUUGGAUGAG
Long non-coding RNA from Gasterosteus aculeatus aculeatus (three-spined stickleback), 2931 nucleotides. NCBI's taxonomy places the organism in Eukaryota, Metazoa, Chordata, Actinopteri, Perciformes, Gasterosteidae. The record is from Ensembl.